Molecule: non-coding RNA, 612 nt
Organism: Pelobates cultripes (western spadefoot toad)
Lineage: Eukaryota; Metazoa; Chordata; Amphibia; Anura; Pelobatidae
Source: the annotation of a GenBank genome assembly
CACCAACCAAUUUUGCAGAGCUGGAUACUCUGAGAAAAGCACAUUAGCAAAACCAACCGUGGCCCUGUCUGGAAACAAACUGACGACGAUUCUCAGUGAAUUUCUGUACUCUAGAUCGUGUGCGGUUUCACCAAGUUUAAUUUAUUAACUAUUUCCAGCAUUUUAUAUAAUGUUCUUUGCCUAUUCUGACCAGUGUAUAAACAUAUUCUGCUCUCGCGUUAAAUUAGAAGUGCAGGUUUCAUAUUUACAGCCGUGGCAAACAAGAAUUAGGUCACAACUAAUCUUUGUCAAUGAGACGACAGGCGAAGAUCGCAUUCUGCUACAAACCUGAUAGGAAGAUGUUGGAGGGAACAUUAACCUACUUAAUGACACUUAACUGAUUGCAGGCAGGUGCACAUAGUGAGACCUUUGGUACAUGAAGCCGAAAGAAAAAUACAUCUUUUGUUCAUGGAAGGGAGAAUGGGAUAGAGAUGAAUGAUUAUAUAAUAGAGGCAGUAUACGUUAAGAACAGAUGGAACUUGACUUUUACAAUUUUUUGAAAUCGCUGUUAAAAUUGACUCCUUGUUUCGGUUGGUGUUAAUUUCUGAAUUGGUUUAUUUUGUCAGAAUUGGC